CGCCUGUAAUCCUACUCGGGAGGCUGAGGCAAGAGAAUUGCUUGAACCCAGGAGACGGAGGUUGCAGUGAGCCGAGAUCAAGCCACUGCACUCCAGCCUGGCCGAGAGAGCAAGACUCUGUUCAAAAAAAAAAAAAAAAAAAAAACCUGCCUGGUUAUUAUUUCCCCCAUUUACAACAUUCCAAAUCACUAUGCAAUUUUUCAUCUAAAAGACAAAAUAUACCUGGGUAAAAAACACUCAAGGUUUUAUAAAUUUUCAGUUUUAGUUAUAAGCUAACAGAGUCAUCUCAAAACACAGAAAUGUAAGGUACAGAAAUACAGGGCAAGAUUCCCCUAAAAAGACAUAAUGGCAGUUUCAAAGCUCAGUAUAUAUUAUACAUAUUGAUAUACUGAAAACUAUGUUUAUUCUACAAGAAUAAGCAACACAGAUGGCCAGGGAAGGGAAUAAGAUGUUUUAGUAGACACUUCUCAAGGAGGCAUUAGCUCAAUGAGACAAUCAGAUGUUCAGUUCAAUUAUGAUACCACACUAUUGUUAUAUUAUUACACUAGCUUCCUUGGUUACCAGUGAGAAAGAUUCUGGGGGGAGGGCCACAAGAUAGGAGGGGACCAAAUACAACACUAUUCUCUUCUCUACAAAAGAA
This 640-nucleotide long non-coding RNA is filed under the name Pan troglodytes (chimpanzee). Its description in RNAcentral is "long non-coding RNA NONPTRT010443". The record is from RNAcentral. Lineage: Eukaryota; Metazoa; Chordata; Mammalia; Primates; Hominidae.